This 502-nucleotide ribosomal RNA is filed under the name uncultured bacterium. RNAcentral's name for it is "bacterial SSU rRNA". It matches the Rfam family "Bacterial small subunit ribosomal RNA", at positions 35 to 507 of the family's 1533-position model. The record is from RNAcentral.
ACUAACGGCUGGCGGCGUGCCUAACACAUGCAAGUCGUACGAGAAAGUUGGCUUCGGCCGAUGAGUAAAGUGGCGCACGGGUGAGUAAUGCGUGGAUAAUCUGCCCUUUAGUUGGGAAUAACGUACCGAAAGGUGCGCUAAUACCUGAUAAUACUGCAUAACUACUGUUGUGUAGUCAAAGAAGGCCUCUGUUUACAAGCUUUUGCUGAAGGAUGAGUCCGCGUACCAUUAGCUGGUUGGUGGGGUAAUGGCCUACCAAGGCUACGAUGGUUAGCUGGUCUGAGAGGAUGAUCAGCCACACUGGAACUGAGACACGGUCCAGACUCCUACGGGAGGCAGCAGUGAGGAAUAUUGCGCAAUGGGGGCAACCCUGAUCCAGCCAUUCCGCGUGAGUGAAGAAGGCCUUCGGGUUGUAAAGCUCUUUCGGCAGGAACGAAACGGUGGUCCCUAAUACGGGCUACUAAUGACGGUACCUGAAGAAGAAGCACCGGCUAACUACGUG